RNAcentral lists this ribosomal RNA (473 nucleotides) under uncultured bacterium. Its description in RNAcentral is "bacterial SSU rRNA". It matches the Rfam family "Bacterial small subunit ribosomal RNA", at positions 29 to 524 of the family's 1533-position model. The record is from RNAcentral.
AAUGAACGUUGGCGGCGUGGAUUAGGCAUGCAAGUCGAGCGAGUCUACUUAUAGCAAUAUGAGUAAGUCGAGCGGCGUAAGGGGCAGUAAUACCUGGGAACGUACCCUGAGGUCGGGGAUAGCUGCUGGAAACGGCGAGCAAUACCCGAUGAUCUUGGAAAAGCAAAGGCUUGCCGCCUUAGGAGCGGCCCAGGCGAUAUUAGCUAGUUGGUGGGGUAAUGGCCUACCAAGGCAUAGAUGUCUAGCGGGUGUGAGAGCAUGGCCCCCACCACUGGGACUGAGAUACUGCCCAGACACCUACGGGUGGCUGCAGUCGAGGAUCUUCGUCAAUGGGCGAAAGCCUGAACGAGCGACGCCGCGUGCGGGAUGAAGGCCCUUGGGUUGUAAACCGCUGUCAGGGGGGGAUGAAACCGUAAGGUUGACAGAGCCCCAGAGGAAGCACGGGCUAAGUUCGUGCCAGCAGCCGCGGUAAU